Telopea speciosissima is the source of this 413-nucleotide long non-coding RNA. RefSeq lists it as uncharacterized. The record is from RefSeq and is a predicted model, not a curated record. NCBI's taxonomy places the organism in Eukaryota, Viridiplantae, Streptophyta, Magnoliopsida, Proteales, Proteaceae. The transcript is spliced from 3 exons.
AAAAAUCAUGGGUGGAGGAGGAACCAUUAGAGCUGCAGCCAAGGUUGCCAGUUUCAGUGUUAAUGGCGGUCUGCGAGGUUCCCCAUUGGUGCCAACUGCAGAGUAGUCAAUGGCGAUUGCCUCCUAAAAGGUUUCAAGGCCUACGACUUCUAUCGUCUCGUCAGUGUCCAUAGAAGAAGGGAGGUCUUCCUUCUUGCUUUCUGGUCAGAAUGGGAAGAUUGAUGCAUCUGUUCAAAGGCCGUUAUGGGACGAUGAUUGGGAAUUUGCUUUGUAUGAAGAAGACCUGCAUGUAGAUUCAAUGACUCCAAUGCCUAGAGUUGUCGUUGGAGGAGUUCCAACAAUGGAGGAAGCCACAGAGGCUACUUUCGAAUUGAAAGAUGCCCUAGAGCAAAGGUCAAUCUUUUGCCAUAUUC